AAUAUUACACGACUCUCGGCAACGGAUAUCUAGGCUCUCGCAUCGAUGAAGAACGUAGCAAACUGCGAUACUUGGUGUGAAUUGCAGAAUCCCGUGAACCAUCGAGUCUUUGAACGCAAGUUGCGCCCGAAGCCAUUACGCCGAGGGCACGUCUGCCUGGGCG
This 163-nucleotide ribosomal RNA is filed under the name Dischidia astephana. RNAcentral's name for it is "5.8S ribosomal RNA". It matches the Rfam family "5.8S ribosomal RNA". From Rfam's summary of the family: 5.8S ribosomal RNA (5.8S rRNA) is a component of the large subunit of the eukaryotic ribosome. Lineage: Eukaryota; Viridiplantae; Streptophyta; Magnoliopsida; Gentianales; Apocynaceae. The record is from RNAcentral.